GAUCCUGGGUCAAAUCAGACCUAGCUUGUCUGAUGUUAAGUUUGGACGGGUGAGUAACACGUGGGUAACCUACCUAUAAGACUGGGAUAACUCCGGGAAACCGGGGCUAAUACCGGAUAAUAUUUUGAACCGCAUGGUUCGAUAGUGAAAGACGGUUUCGGCUGUCACUUAUAGAUGGACCCGCGCCGUAUUAGCUAGUUGGUAAGGUAACGGCUUACCAAGGCGACGAUACGUAGCCGACCUGAGAGGGUGAUCGGCCACACUGGAACUGAGACACGGUCCAGACUCCUACGGGAGGCAGCAGUAGGGAAUCUUCCGCAAUGGGCGAAAGCCUGACGGAGCAACGCCGCGUGAGUGAUGAAGGUCUUCGGAUCGUAAAACUCUGUUGUUAGGGAAGAACAAAUUUGUUAGUAACUGAACAAGUCUUGACGGUACCUAACCAGAAAGCCACGGCUAACUACGUGCCAGCAGCCGCGGUAAUACGUAGGUGGCAAGCGUUAUCCGGAAUUAUUGGGCGUAAAGCGCGCGUAGGCGGUUUCUUAAGUCUGAUGUGAAAGCCCACGGCUCAACCGUGGAGGGUCAUUGGAAACUGGGAAACUUGAGUGCAGAAGAGGAGAGUGGAAUUCCAUGUGUAGCGGUGAAAUGCGCAGAGAUAUGGAGGAACACCAGUGGCGAAGGCGGCUCUCUGGUCUGUAACUGACGCUGAUGUGCGAAAGCGUGGGGAUCAAACAGGAUUAGAUACCCUGGUAGUCCACGCCGUAAACGAUGAGUGCUAAGUGUUAGGGGGUUUCCGCCCCUUAGUGCUGCAGCUAACGCAUUAAGCACUCCGCCUGGGGAGUACGACCGCAAGGUUGAAACUCAAAGGAAUUGACGGGGACCCGCACAAGCGGUGGA
RNAcentral lists this ribosomal RNA (894 nucleotides) under Mammaliicoccus sciuri. RNAcentral's name for it is "bacterial SSU rRNA". It matches the Rfam family "Bacterial small subunit ribosomal RNA", at positions 62 to 936 of the family's 1533-position model. The record is from RNAcentral. Lineage: Bacteria; Bacillati; Bacillota; Bacilli; Caryophanales; Staphylococcaceae.